GGGCAGGCCAUACGGACGCCAAAAAGUGUCCCUGGCCGCCUACACCCACUAUACAUCCACAAACCCGUGUGCACUGUCUUGGAGAAAGGCUUCAGAGAAGUUUUUUGUGGCCUCUCUUGGGGUCUUUCUUCGCUACAAACUCGAAUGGUUAGUAUGAACGUGGAACUUGGUUGGACCGUCACUGGCCAACAAACUAUACACAACUUUCGACAACGGAUCUCUUGGUUCUCCCAUCGAUGAAGAACGCAGCGAAACGCGAUAGGUAAUGUGAAUUGCAGAAUUCCGUGAAUUAUCGAAUCUUUGAACGCACCUUGCGCUCUAUGGCAAUCCGUAGAGCAUGCCUGUUUGAGUGCCAUGAAAUCUCCCACCCCAAGCGGUUUUUAAAUGAAACGGCUUGGCGGAUGGGGUCUGGAUGGGUGCCUCUGCCUGCGCUACCUAGCACAGGCUCGCCCGAAAUGCAUGAGCGCCUUGAGACACUUUGCAUCCGCCUCUCUGUUUGGGAGGAGGCGGCCAAGCAGUGUUUUUCUCCUGGCAUGGCAUGAUACGUCAUUUGCUAUGUCGCCUAAAGGAGGA
This 573-nucleotide small RNA is filed under the name uncultured fungus. Its description in RNAcentral is "eukaryotic LSU rRNA". The stretch from base 202 to 355 matches the Rfam family "5.8S ribosomal RNA". Lineage: Eukaryota; Fungi. The record is from RNAcentral.